RNAcentral lists this non-coding RNA (28 nucleotides) under Homo sapiens (human). Lineage: Eukaryota; Metazoa; Chordata; Mammalia; Primates; Hominidae. The record is from RNAcentral.
UAAAGGUAGCCCCUUGAUGGCCUUGAAC